RNAcentral lists this long non-coding RNA (324 nucleotides) under Lathyrus oleraceus (garden pea). Its description in RNAcentral is "Pisum sativum (pea) long non-coding RNA (PSAT_LNC030347)". The record is from RNAcentral. Lineage: Eukaryota; Viridiplantae; Streptophyta; Magnoliopsida; Fabales; Fabaceae.
UAAAACAUCAUGAAUGUAACCAUUGGCCAAAAAUACUUCCUCACCCUGUUCAGAGUCAUGAGAAUACAUUCCAACUGUGUUGAAAAGCUAAGUUUGGGGUAAAAACCCCAAAAGCUCUCAAAGCCCUAGAAAGUGCAAAAACAAAAGAAAUAAGAAAAAUUGAUGAAUCGAGAAAAAAGAAAAAUAAAAAUCAAAUAAUCAAUGAUUCAAAAGAAAAAGCACUAAAAAGGGCAGUCGGUAAAAAUUCAAGAAAUAAACCGAGGAAAUAAAAGAAACGAACACAGAAUGUAACAUCGACUCUGAACCAAGAGACCCUUGUUUUCC